RNAcentral lists this long non-coding RNA (753 nucleotides) under Olea europaea subsp. europaea. The record is from RNAcentral. Lineage: Eukaryota; Viridiplantae; Streptophyta; Magnoliopsida; Lamiales; Oleaceae.
AUAACAUCUCUGCAAGAUCACUAAGGCCAUUCAACCCUUAAAACCCUUAUCUUUUCUUUCCAUAUAUUGAAGAUACAUACACUAAUUAGAAUUAAGCCAAAAGCAUUUCUUUUCCCUGUUCAUCGACUUCAAUUCCUUUACCAAUUUGAAUAAUUAUUUGGUGGGUAUACAUGUAUAUAUAUCAUAAUAAAUCCAUUUGCCUUUGUUUGACUCACAACCCUUCAUGCAUUAAAAUCUAUAUGUACACAUUUGUGGACAUCAAUAUGCCCAGGCAAUCUCGUACUCAAUUCCAAAUCGUUUCUGCAGUAAUUCCUGAUCACAAAAUUAAGCUAACCCAUUUCCUUCUUUCCUUAGUACUUAAUUUAUUUCUUGACUCUAAAUUUCUAAUUGCAACCAAUAGGCAAUAGUCAUAAUAACAUCGACUAUACAUGAACCAAUCCAAAAAAUAAAUCAUCUAGAAUAUGGGUCCUAAUCCAAUUCCACAAAAUAUGAUAAUGAAAAUUGAAAAGCAGAGAGAGAAGAUUCUUACUUGCCGCCUGCUGUUGGAGAUUAUUAACGCCUCAUACCCAGCCACCCGUGCACUUGGAGUAGGCGAAGGAGGAGGAGAAGUGAUCGGAGAUGACUAAAUUGGCGAGACUGACCGGAGCAGUUAGAGCAGGGGCUGAUAGCCAGAGACGUCGAGGACUCGAGCGAGACUAGAGAGAGGGGAGGACGAAAUGUCUGAAUGUGGGGAAUCGGACUGGGAUAAUAAUG